RNAcentral lists this ribosomal RNA (474 nucleotides) under uncultured bacterium. RNAcentral's name for it is "bacterial SSU rRNA". It matches the Rfam family "Bacterial small subunit ribosomal RNA", at positions 30 to 504 of the family's 1533-position model. The record is from RNAcentral.
UGAACGCUAGCGGGAGGCCUAACACAUGCAAGCCGAGCGGUAUUGUUUCUUCGGAAAUGAGAGAGCGGCGUACGGGUGCGUAACACGUGUGCAACCUGCCUUUAUCUGGGGGAUAGCCUUUCGAAAGGAAGAUUAAUACUCCAUAAUAUAUUGAACGGCAUCGUUUAAUAUUGAAAGCUCCGGCGGAUAGAGAUGGGCACGCGCAAGAUUAGCUAGUUGGUGAGGUAACGGCUCACCAAGGCGAUGAUCUUUAGGGGGCCUGAGAGGGUGAUCCCCCACACUGGUACUGAGACACGGACCAGACUCCUACGGGAGGCAGCAGUGAGGAAUAUUGGUCAAUGGGUGCAAGCCUGAACCAGCCAUCCCGCGUGAAGGACGACUGCCCUAUGGGUUGUAAACUUCUUUUGUAUAGGGAUAAACCUACCCUCGAGAGGGUAGCUGAAGGUACUAUACGAAUAAGCACCGGCUAACUCC